Molecule: ribosomal RNA, 301 nt
Filed under: uncultured bacterium
Lineage: Bacteria
Description: partial 16S ribosomal RNA
Rfam family: Bacterial small subunit ribosomal RNA
Source: RNAcentral
CAGUCGCCGCGGUAAUACCGAGGGUGCAAGCGUUAAUCGGAAUUACUGGGCGUAAAGCGCGCGUAGGUGGUUCGCCAAGUUGGAUGUGAAAUCCCCGGGCUCAACCUGGGAACUGCAUCCAAAACUGGCGAGCUAGAGUAUGGUAGAGGGUGGUGGAAUUUCCUGUGUAGCGGUGAAAUGCGUAGAUAUAGGAAGGAACAUCAGUGGCGAAGGCGACCACCUGGACUGAUACUGACACUGAGGUGCGAAAGCGUGGGGAGCAAACAGGAUUAGAUACCCCUGUAGUCCCUGUCUCUUAUAC